AAUAGCAGCUGCACCUAAGUUUGAAUGCCUGAUAGUGUCCAGUUUUGGAAGCUAAGCAGGGCUGUGCCUGGUUAGUACUUGGAUGGGAAACCAAGUUGGAAGACCAGGGGCUGCUACCC
RNAcentral lists this ribosomal RNA (119 nucleotides) under Mastacembelus armatus (zig-zag eel). The record is from RNAcentral. Lineage: Eukaryota; Metazoa; Chordata; Actinopteri; Synbranchiformes; Mastacembelidae.